GUGGACAGAAGGGAUUUCUGAAAA
Molecule: non-coding RNA, 24 nt
Filed under: Homo sapiens (human)
Lineage: Eukaryota; Metazoa; Chordata; Mammalia; Primates; Hominidae
Also listed under: 1 other name
Source: RNAcentral